Diceros bicornis minor is the source of this 6170-nucleotide RNA transcript. It is a transcript of the gene named zinc finger protein 709-like, with no coding region annotated. The transcript is spliced from 5 exons. The record is from RefSeq and is a predicted model, not a curated record. Lineage: Eukaryota; Metazoa; Chordata; Mammalia; Perissodactyla; Rhinocerotidae.
CCCUCCGGGCUCGCUCUGGUUCGUGUGUUGUGUUCCGUUAACGGUCCCUGGUGGCUCUGCCUCAGCAUCUGUCACGCUGUGAUCUGCACUGGCCGUGGGCGACAUAGGAGGGACUCAGGGGGACCCGGGAGACCUAGAAAUGGUCUCAGUGGCCAUUGAGGAUGUGUCUGUGACCUUCACCCUGGAGGAGUGGGCUUUAUUGGAUCCUUCACAGAAGAAACUCUACAGAGAUGUGAUGUCGGAAACCUUCAGGAAUCUGGCCUCCAUUGGAAAGAAAUGGAAAGAUCAUGACAUUGAAGAUCAUUACAUAAACCAGGGGAGAAGACAAAGAAGUCAUAUGGUAGAGAGACUGUUUAAAAGUAAAGAAGGUAAUCAAUGUGGAGAAAACUUCAGCCGUAUUCCAAAUCUCAAUCUGAACAAGAAAACUCCUGGAGUGAAACCACGUGAAUGCAGUGCAUGUGGAAAAGUCUUCAUGCAUCAUUCAUCCCUUAAGAGGCACAUGAGAUGUCACGCUGAAAACAAACCAUCUGAAUAUCAAAAAUAUGGACAGAAGCCUUAUAAAUGUAAGGAAUGUGGGAAAGCCUUUGUUUAUUUCCAUGUUUUAGAAAAACAUGAAAGAAAUCACAAUGGAGAGAGAAACUAUAAGUGUAAGGAAUGUGGGAAAACGUUUAUGUGGCUCAAAACCCUACGAAGACACAUGAGAAUGCACACUGGAGAUGCUCCUUAUAAAUGCAAAGAAUGUGAGAAAGGCUUCAAUUGUUCUAGUUCACUUCAAGUACAUGAAAGAACUCACACUGGAGAGAAACCCUAUGAAUGUGCAAAAUGUACUAAAACAUUCACUUGUCCCAGUUCUCUUCAAAGACAUGAAAAAACUCAUACUGGAAAGAAACCCUAUGAAUGUAAGGAAUGUGGGAAAGCCUACAGAUAUUAUACUUCCUUACAAACACAUGAAAGGACUCACACAGGAGAGAAACCCUACAAAUGUAAGCAAUGUGGUAAAGCGUUCAUUUCUCAUCUAGGCUUCCAAAUACAUGAAAGAAAUCAUAAUGGAGAGAAACAGUAUGAAUGCAAAAAAUGCAGUAAAGCAUUCAGUUGUCCCAGUUCUCUUCAAAAACAUGAAAAAAAUCACACUGGAGAAAAACCCUAUGAAUGUAGAAAAUGCAGUAAGGCAUUCAGUUUUCCCAGUUCCCUUCAAGUACAUGAAAGAACUCAUACUGGAGAGAAACCUUACAAAUGUAAGGAAUGUGGGAAAGCCUUUACUGCUCUCUCAAGCCUUCGAGCACACAUGAUCUCUCACACUGGAGAUGGACCUUAUAAAUGUAAGGAAUGUGAGAAAGUGUUCAUUUCUCCCAGUGCAUUUCAAAUACACCAAAGGAUUCACACUGGAGAGAAACCCUAUGAGUGUAAACAGUGUGGUAAAGCCUUUAGUUAUGUCACUUCCUUUCAAAUACACAAAAGAACUCACACAGGAGAGAAACCCUAUGAAUGUAAAGAAUGUGGGAAAGCCUUUAGUGUUGCAACUUCACUUAGAAUACAUGAAAAAACUCACAGUAUAGAGAAACCUUAUCACUGUAAACAAUGUGGAAAAGCCUUUAGAUAUCAUCACAAUUUUCAAAGACAUGAAAGGAGUCACAUAGGAGAGAAACUCUAUGAAUGUAAGCAGUGUAGUAAAACUUUCAGUUAUUACAAUUCCUUCCAAAUACGUAAAGGAAGUCACACCGGAAAGGAACCAUGUGAAUGUAAAACAUGUACUACAGCAUUCACGUGUCCCGGUUCUCUUCAAAAACAUGAAAGAAGUCAUACUGGAGAGAAAACUCAUGAAUGUAAGGAAUGUGGGAAAACCUUCAUUUGUCACACAAACUUUCAAAGACACGUGAGAGUGCACACUGGAGAGAAACCAUAUAAAUGUGUGGAAUGUGGGAAAGCUUUCUGUGAUUCCAGUUCUUUCCGAAGGCAUGAAAGGACUCACUGGAUAAAACCUCUUGAAGGUAAACAGUGUGGGAAGGGCUUCAAUUGGCCCACUUCCUAGAAUGUGAAAACUCCCACCAAAAAGAAAUAUAAAUAACAUGAGAAAGCUUGAUAGGAAUUAAUACAUCUGUAAUGUUCCAGAAAACUUUUCAAUAUGAAAGAGUUGUUAUCAAAAUUGUAAAUAUAUUGUGUUUACUAAGCCGCUUUCCUAAGGUACAUUAUUGGACUGUGGAUUUCUACUAAUUACUUUUAGAAGUGAAUAUGAGGGUAAGACUUGGCCUUGCGGUGAAUACACGCCAGCUCCCAGUCCUCUGUAAUGGAUUUUGCCUUUCCUACUUAUUAUCAAAUCACUGAUAUAUUUCCUAAGGUGUGUUAGACACUGUUUACCAUAAAGUACCUUAGUUAAGUUAUAUAAAUUUACUUCUUAGUAUACUCUGUAAUAUUUUUCGUAUCUCCUUUAUGAUUCACCUGAGGCCUUUGAGUUUAGGUAAAUUGUGAGAUAAUACAAACCUAGCAAGGGAGAGAGACAGAACCACUAUGUCAAUCAAGAUUUUCUCGGAGACUAGGCUCUUGGUGCUAGUGUUUCAGCAUCUCUCACAUACCAUGCACUAUAGAGGCAACAUACCCAAUUUUACACAAAUAAGGCAUAAUGAGAUUUGAAUAUAGUGACAUGAAACAAACCAGUUCUUACAAUCAUGGUGCUUAUAUGUUCGUGGGAAAAAAGAUGGUUAGCAAAUGGUAAAGCUUUGGUUUGUAAGCUGGAAAUAGGGCUUUGAAGAAAGGUGAAAAAACAAUAUGAGCUAAUAGGAAUGCUGAGGUGUGUGUAUAUCUUUUCUUUGAGGGUAGGAGUGAGUGAGGAUGUCAUUAUUAUCAUUAUCUGGACUUGAGACUUCCUAUUGAUUUAGGCCACAGAUAAUUAUGAUGUCUUUUUGUGUUUAAUAUUAUAGGAGAGAAUUUUCAUUUACCUUUAAAUGUUUAAAAUGUUUGGUUUUUUCAUUUUGCUGCUUUACAGACUGAGUGUGCAACAUAUACCACUAAACCAUGGAGUUCCUCCCGUUUAGAGAAACAGUUACCUUCAUCUGUACUGUUCUAGCUCAUCUUGAGUGUGUUCCAUGAAUAGAGUGAUAUCUAUGCAAGUUUACUGUAAUCUCCCAGUGGAAACCCCAGAAAGAGCUAUGAAUGUUUAGAGGCAGUCAUCCCAGGAAUAAUUGAAGUGAGCUGCAGAGGACAGGGUAUCAUUUUGAGUAAUAUCCUAAUUGAGUAUAAAAAGCAAAAUGGCAAGUUUUCAACAUCUUUUCUUGUAAGAAAAGAUGAGUGGCAAGAGUGGCUGGAAGACUUUUGUUUCCGUGAUUCACAAAGCCCCAUCGUCCAUAUUGCUGUUCACACGUCUCUCUUCCAUAUGCUUAGAUUUCCAGCACAUGUUCUGGAAAAGUGGGAAACAAUAUUAACAACUUGGAGGUUUAAAAGAGCAAAGGAAGUUCAAUCUUUUCCAUUUUUUUAGUGUUAACUUAUGUAUUGGAGGUUUUGUUCACAUGGGCACCACAAGAGUGUUCUUUUGAUAUGAUGAUAUAGUUUCCAUCUCUUCAUGGCGGUAAUUCUAUACUUUUGUGAAAACUCAUGAGUACAGUAAAAAUAUUUUAUAUAUAUUUAUAUAUGUUAUAUAUGUGCCUGUGAGUAAUAAUUAGAAAACACAUAACACAAUUGUUUUCAUACGCUAGGAGAAUGUUAAGCUCUCCUGAACCUUGAUUUUUAUGUGUUCAACUCUUCUUUCCACCAGUGAGGGAUCCUUCUUAGGAAGAAUUGGAGGACUGAGGAAGAAGGACUCAGUCCUCCACAGUCCUUUAUUGCAACCCUGUCUUAGUUAAAAAAGUCAUGCUCUAGAGUUGAACCUGCCAUCAUCUCAUACACAUACUAUGAGCUUGGUGAGAAGCUCCCCAAAUCUGUCUAUGAGUUUAAGUCAGGUUCCUUGGAUAUACUGUGGUUUUAAAACAUAAAAGUGUAUCCCAAGCGGGAUCUGCCUGGGGACAUCCUCAUUCAUGUGCAUCAGCAUCAUUUCUUCUCAUUGCCAUCCAUAGACCAUUUCCAGCUGUUCAUUUCCCACCUCAAGCCUACUCUGUGCUUGCUUACUUGGAAACAUCUUUAGAAAUCCAUGCAUGUCCCACUCUGCAAAAUUUCCCUGAGGCAGCAGGAGGGGGCUGUGAGCUGAGAGGGAGACAGAAGUGGUAGAAACCAUGUUACGGGCAUGUUCUGUCAGCCACAGCAACCACAAACAUCCCAUAUUUAUCAUAUCUGCUUGCUUAUUCACACAACACUCAAAAUUGACUUACAUUGAAUUGGGGAACAAAAGGAUCUAGAAUUUUUUGAAAUAGCACUCCAUUAAUGUCCCCCUCCCCACACUCCUUUAUCACAGAGGCUGUAGAAGCCUCCUGUUAUUCAUCCAGGAGUCUCUAAACCUCCCAUGGUGGACAUAAAUUACCCAAGACAUUCUUGUACCAGAAACUUUUCUUCAGCAGAUACUGGCACAAUUAGAGAAGCCACUGCUGGUAACUGACAGAGUGUUUAUGUAAAUGGAGGCCUUCCCAGGGGCUGAAUUGAUCCUCCACAGCCAGCUUCCCAUUUUGCCUUGGGUUAUGAAUGCAGGACCCCCCAGGCUUUCUAACCAGAGGCCUCCUCAUUGAAGAGAUAUGGGUAUUUACAGCAUAGAGCCAGCCAAAAAUGGUGUUUCUGGAAUAUCCCAUGGAUACUAGGUAGUGUAUUUCCCUCUUCUCUGAUGUAAUCCAUUGUGGAAGAGGCCAUUUCCUUUUUAGACACAUUGGCCACUUGGAGAGUCACCUAGGAGCACAUGGGUGAACAUGUUCAUAUACUUUAUUGAUAGCGUGCACCACCACAUCUGAUGGAGUCCACUGCAGAGAUGCUGCCUUCUGUCCCUAGAUCCAACAGGCCAUCACUGGUCAAAGAAUGGACCCAAGCUCAGAUCGAUUAGUCAAACUGGUCAUGCUAGCCAUAGAAAAUUUCUUGGCCAAGAAUCAAUCACAUCUGCACAUUUUUACAGAUCCUUUGGCCAUUGACAAUGAUCUAGCUGUGUGGUCCUACAAAUAGUAACAACUCCUUAUCCAAAGUUGCCCACUAUGGCAUAAAGAACUCUGGAAAUAUCUUGCCUCAGAAUUACCCAACUACAAAUCUAGUCACUCCUUACUCUGCACUUAUUAAUUUCAAUCUGCAGAGGCUGAUUUCAUUGCUCAGGGUGAUAAACUGACGCAAGUUUCUGAGACAUAUAUGGACACCUCAAACCUGAUGGUAUUGACCUUGUUCCAAUGGUCUCACUUAAUAUGAAACUGCUUAUAGGCCUCUACCCUAAGAGGCUAGGCAAAAUUCAAGUGAUUUCCCUCCUUGGCCGUGGUUAACUUAUUGACUGACCAAUGAACCUGAUGUGAAAAAACAAGUCACUAGUAAUAUAAUUAAUGGACAUACUGUCUUGACAUGAGUACAGCCAUGUUUGGCCGCUCCAUUGACCUACAGCCACCAGCACACAAAGAAAUAUAAAAGCUGCUUUCUGCGUGGUGGGAACUGGCCCUUCUCCCACGGAGAUAGUUGCAAUGUGUAAAAAUUUCAAGGCCCUUUGGGCGCCGCAGCCUGGGACAGACUGGCCAUUUGUGCCAGGCUGGGAUGAUAACCAGGGAAAACAGUGCAUGUACACAACUGCUGGGCUGGAAUGAUAGCCAGGAGGCUCAGUGCACGUAUGCCACUGAUAACCAUUUGUGCAUGGGAACACUGGAUGCUUGCUCUGAAAAAAACUGUGACUGUUUACUCUGAAAAUUAUUGAUGCUAUAAAAAACUGCUGAAGACUGAGGCCUGGUGAGAGUUCCACCUGUGGAAGGGAUGCCUUGCCCAGGAUGUGUGAUUCCCGCCCAGCCAUGUCGAUUGAAAGGACUCUCCCGGCAGUGGGGCGUGGAUGUUGUGAGUCAUUGAUUUCUUGUGAAGUAAUUGAUUUGUUGUGAAUAAUUGAUUUGAUGUGUUCUCUUUUCAGUCAACCUGGUGUUUCUCUUUCUGGUUGAUUUGUGUCAUUUCCCUUCAGUCAAUGUGGAUGUUUUCCCUUUCCACUUGAUCUGAUGUUUUUCCUUCUUGAUAUUUGACCUAUUCAGAUCUGUUUGUGGACUAUCAUCUUUACUAUCCUCUAUAUAAUAAAAUAUACCUUCAGUCCA